This 519-nucleotide ribosomal RNA is filed under the name uncultured bacterium. RNAcentral's name for it is "partial 16S ribosomal RNA". The record is from RNAcentral.
ACACUGUUCAUGGGUUACCGCGGCUGCUGGCACGGAGUUAGCCGGUGCUUCUUCUGUGAGUGAUGUCCUUCCUGCCGGCUAUUAACCCGCAGGCCUUCUUCCUCACUGAAAGUGCUUUACAACCCGAAGGCCUUCUUCACACACGCGGCAUGGCUGGAUCAGGGUUGCCCCCAUUGUCCAAUAUUCCCCACUGCUGCCUCCCGUAGGAGUCUGGGCCGUGUCUCAGUCCCAGUGUGGCUGAUCAUCCUCUCAGACCAGCUACGGAUCGGUCGCCUUGGUGAGCCGUUACCUCACCAACCAGCUAAUCCGACAUAGGCUCAUCCGAUAGCGCGAGGCCCGAAGGUCCCCCGCUUUCCCCCGUAGGGCGUAUGCGGUAUUAGCCUGGGUUUCCCCAGGUUAUCCCCCACUACCGGGCAGAUUCCUAUGCAUUACUCACCCGUCCGCCGCUCGCCACCAGGGAGCAAGCUCCCCGUGCUGCCGCUCGACUUGCAUGUGUUAGGCCUGCCGCCAGCGUUCAAU